Small RNA from Pluralibacter gergoviae, 77 nucleotides. It matches the Rfam family "tpke11". From Rfam's summary of the family: In Yersinia located in ICR upstream dnaJ (chaperone)gene. Has temperature responsive RNA structure. The record is from Rfam. NCBI's taxonomy places the organism in Bacteria, Pseudomonadati, Pseudomonadota, Gammaproteobacteria, Enterobacterales, Enterobacteriaceae.
UGCAGGGUAAUUAACUGGCACGGGCGUCGGAGUUUACUCCACGCCCGUGCUCGUAUGUUAAGGGCAAUCAAAAAAGA